Molecule: ribosomal RNA, 468 nt
Filed under: uncultured bacterium
Lineage: Bacteria
Description: partial 16S ribosomal RNA
Rfam family: Bacterial small subunit ribosomal RNA
Source: RNAcentral
GACGAACGCUGGCGGCAUGCUUAACACAUGCAAGUCGAACGGAAAGGCCCUGCUUUUGUGGGGUGCUCUAGUGGCGACCGGGUGAGUAACACGUGAGUUCCCAGCCCUUGACUUUGGGAUAACUUCAGACAACUGGGUCUAAUACCGGCUAGGAGUUCCUGCUGUAUGGUGGGGGUUGGAUAGUUUCGCCGGUUGGGGAGGGACUCGCGGCUUAUCAGCUCGUUGGUGGGGUAGUGGCUUACCAAGGCUUGGACGGGUAGCCGGCCUGGGAGGGUGACCGGCCACAUUGGGACUGAGAUACGGCCCAGACUCCUACGGGAGGCAGCAGUGGGGAAUAUUGCACAAUGGGCGGAAGCCUGAUGCAGCAACGCCGCGUGCGGGAUGACGGCCUUCGGGUUGUAAACCGCUUUCGCCUGUGACGAAGCGUGAGUGACGGUAAUGGGUAAAGAAGCACCGGCUAACUACGUG